AAAGAAUUAAUUUACAUAAAAUAAUAGUUAGUCAUACUAUAAAUAUUAGAUAAUAUCUAAUAUUCUUUA
Molecule: transfer RNA, 69 nt
Filed under: Neodiprion qinghaiicus
Lineage: Eukaryota; Metazoa; Arthropoda; Insecta; Hymenoptera; Diprionidae
Description: tRNA-Asp
Source: RNAcentral